RNAcentral lists this ribosomal RNA (468 nucleotides) under uncultured bacterium. Its description in RNAcentral is "partial 16S ribosomal RNA". It matches the Rfam family "Bacterial small subunit ribosomal RNA", at positions 28 to 507 of the family's 1533-position model. The record is from RNAcentral.
GACGAACGCUGGCGGCGUGCUUAACACAUGCAAGUCGAACGGAAAGGCCCUGCUUUUGUGGGGUGCUCGAGUGGCGAACGGGUGAGUAACACGUGAGUAACCUGCCCUUGACUUUGGGAUAACUUCAGGAAACUGGGGCUAAUACCGGAUAGGAGCUCCUGCUGCAUGGUGGGGGUUGGAAAGUUUCGGCGGUUGGGGAUGGACUCGCGGCUUAUCAGCUUGUUGGUGGGGUAGUGGCUUACCAAGGCUUUGACGGGUAGCCGGCCUGAGAGGGUGACCGGCCACAUUGGGACUGAGAUACGGCCCAGACUCAUACGGGAGGCAGCAGUGGGGAAUAUUGCACAAUGGGCGGAAGCCUGAUGCAGCAACGCCGCGUGCGGGAUGACGGCCUUCGGGUUGUAAACCGCUUUCGCCUGUGACGAAGCGUGAGUGACGGUAAUGGGUAAAGAAGAACCGGCUAACUACGUG